This is a long non-coding RNA of Capsicum annuum, 759 nucleotides long. RefSeq lists it as uncharacterized. The record is from RefSeq and is a predicted model, not a curated record. Lineage: Eukaryota; Viridiplantae; Streptophyta; Magnoliopsida; Solanales; Solanaceae. The transcript is spliced from 3 exons.
AAUUUAUAUAUAUGUACUUACUAAAAUUACCUAAUUACAUUAUAUACUAAUUUGCUAAAAUAUUUACACAUAUCUCAAAUUAUAUAUAUAAAUUCCUUUACUUUCAACUUUCUCUUUCUUAAACAUUAUACAUCUCACAAUUCCAAUAUCUCUUCUGUAAUUCACUCCCCCAUAUGCUCCCACAUAAAUCCCUUUCCUUUUAACUCUCUCUUUUUUAAUCAUUACACAUGUGAAACACUGAUUUUGGUAAAAAAAAAAAAUAAUACAAUAUUUUUGAGAUGAUGAUGUUUGAGGAAAUGAGGUUCUGUGGCGAUCUUGAUUUCUUCCCUGCUCCGCUAAAGAAAGUGAAAGUGGAAGUGGUUGCCCCACAGAAUCGGAUUGAGCCGGAUUCUGUGGUGGAUGAUGAUUAUAGUGAUGAGGAGAUUGAUGUUUAUUAGCCUAACUUUGAUGUUCAUGAUCAAUUCUAUUUGCUGAGCUUAUAUUCUAUGCUAUGUACUGAUUUGUCGUAACAACGACUGCAAGUGGGUGUUGGGGGCGUCUUCUAUGAAUGAAUUGAAAAUUAAUGCUUAUAUGAAAAGUGGGUGUUGAAGGCAUCUUAUCCUUAUUCAUACUCCUUAUACAUAUAUUGUGGGUGUGUAUAUACUAUGUAAUUUGACAAAUAUUAUAGUAAAUAGUUGUUGAAACAUAAUGUGUAUUACACAAUUAUAUACAUUAAACUUUCAUAUAUAUACAUAAUGAAUGAUAUAUUAUUAUACUUUA